Molecule: ribosomal RNA, 1519 nt
Filed under: metagenome
Description: bacterial SSU rRNA
Rfam family: Bacterial small subunit ribosomal RNA
Source: RNAcentral
AGAGUUUGAUCCUGGCUCAGAAACGAACGUUGGCGGCGUGCUUAACACAUGCAAGUCGUACGAGAAAGCUCUCUUCGGAGAGUGAGUAAAGUGGCGAACGGGUGAGUAACACGUGAGUAAUCAACCCUCGAACCUGGGAUAACAUUCCGAAAGGAGUGCUAAUACCGGAUAAGACCACAUCCUGUACGCAGGAAGAGGUAAAAGAUGGCCUCUCCAUGGAAGCUAUCAUUUGAGGACGAGCUCGCGUACCAUUAGCUUGUUGGUAGGGUAACGGCCUACCAAGGCUGCGAUGGUUAGCUGGUCUGAGAGGACGACCAGCCACACUGGAACUGAGACACGGUCCAGACUCCUACGGGAGGCAGCAGUGGGGAAUAUUGCGCAAUGGGGGAAACCCUGACGCAGCAACGCCGCGUGAAGGAUGAAGGCCUUCGGGUCGUAAACUUCUGUCAGGCAGGACGAAACAUCGAGACGUGAAUAAUGUUUCGAUCUGACGGUACUGCCAGAGGAAGUCCCGGCUAACUCCGUGCCAGCAGCCGCGGUAAUACGGAGGGGACAAACGUUGUUCGGAAUUAUUGGGCGUAAAGAGCGCGUAGGUGGCUAGAAAAGUCAGACGUGAAAUACCUCUGCUUAACAGGGGAAGGGCGUUUGAAACUUUCUGGCUUGAGUGUGGGAGAGGAGAGUGGAAUUCCCAGUGUAGCGGUGAAAUGCGUAGAUAUUGGGAAGAACACCAGUGGCGUAGGCGGCUCUCUGGCCCAUUACUGACACUGAGGCGCGAAAGCUAGGGGAGCAAACGGGAUUAGAUACCCCGGUAGUCCUAGCCGUAAACGAUGGGCACUAGGUGUAGGAGGUAUCGACCCCUUCUGUGCCGAAGUUAACGCAUUAAGUGCCCCGCCUGGGGAGUACGGUCGCAAGGCUGAAACUCAAAGGAAUUGACGGGGGCCCGCACAAGCGGUGGAGCAUGUGGUUCAAUUCGACGCAACGCGAAGAACCUUACCUGGACUUGACAUGUUUCUGAUAUUUCCAGAGAUGGAAAUUCUCUUCGGAGCAGUUACACAGGUGCUGCAUGGCUGUCGUCAGCUCGUGUCGUGAGAUGUUGGGUUAAGUCCCGCAACGAGCGCAACCCUUACUCUUAGUUGCCAGCGGGUAAUGCCGGGAACUCUAAGGGAACUGCCGGUGAUAAGCCGGAGGAAGGUAGGGAUGACGUCAAGUCCUCAUGGCCUUUAUGUCCAGGGCUACACACGUGCUACAAUGGCCUGCGCAAAGGGUUGCUAACCCGCGAGGGCAUGCUAAUCCCAAAAAGUAGGUCUCAGUUCGGAUUGAAGUCUGCAACUCGACUUCAUGAAGUAGGAAUCGCUAGUAAUCGCACAUCAGCACGGUGCGGUGAAUACGUUCCCGGGCCUUGUACACACCGCCCGUCACACCACGAAAGCCUAUUGUACCGGAAGUCGCUGAGCUAACCCGCAAGGGAAGCAGGCGCCCAUGGUAUGGUCGGUGAUUGGGGUGAAGUCGAAACAAGGUA